AUUGAACGCUGGCGGAAUGCUUUACACAUGCAAGUCGAGCGGCAGCGCGGCCUUCGGGCUGGCGGCGAGCGGCGAACGGGUGAGUAAUGCAUCGGAACAUGCCCAGUCGUGGGGGAUAACACUUCGAAAGAAGUGCUAAUACCGCCUACGUCCUGAGGGGGAAAGCGGGGGAUCGCAAGACCUCGCGCGAUUGGAGUGGCCGAUGUCAGAUUAGCUAGUUGGUGGGGUAAAGGCCUACCAAGGCGACGAUCUGUAGCUGGUCUGAGAGGAUGAUCAGCCACACUGGGACUGAGACACGGCCCAGACUCCUACGGGAGGCAGCAGUGGGGAAUUUUGGACAAUGGGGGCAACCCUGAUCCAGCCAUUCCGCGUGAGUGAAGAAGGCCUUCGGGUUGUAAAGCUCUUUCGGCAGGAACGAAACGGUGGGCUCUAACAUAGUCCGCUAAUGACGGUACCUGAAGAAGAAGCACCGGCUAACUACGUG
Molecule: ribosomal RNA, 484 nt
Filed under: uncultured bacterium
Lineage: Bacteria
Description: partial 16S ribosomal RNA
Rfam family: Bacterial small subunit ribosomal RNA
Source: RNAcentral